This 6130-nucleotide long non-coding RNA is filed under the name Ananas comosus (pineapple). RNAcentral's name for it is "long non-coding RNA (ACOM_LNC024263)". The record is from RNAcentral. Lineage: Eukaryota; Viridiplantae; Streptophyta; Magnoliopsida; Poales; Bromeliaceae.
UAUGCACUUAACACCCUCACAAUACACUAUUCACACCAGUUUAGCAGAUACAAACUGACGUUUUUCGCCGGAGCCCUUCUGAAUGUCCGUUUGAGCUCAAAUUUGACAGUCAGGCUCGGUUUUACUUAAUAAGUACAAAGAAAUUUUAAUAUUUCAGUCUCGACCCCGUUUGGUCAACGAAAGCUGUACCGAACUGUAAUCUUUAUCAGAUAGCUGUCGGAUUUUAUUUUCUACCUUCCGGGUGUCAGAACGAUAUGAAACUUUAAAUCUAGCCUCAUAAAAAUAAUUUUGACUUAUCCUCCAGUUUUCAUAAUUUUCUGACACUGUGCAUUUUCUGCUAAUUCAUCUGUCCCGUUUCCAACAGAAAAUUCUAAAUCUUCUGUUUUCAUUCCGAUUUUAACACAAGUCACUUAUGACUUAUGUUUUACUUCUCUAAAUCUAAUAAAAAUAGUAUCUCACAUUAUUUUUAUUUAUUUUUAUUUUUACAUCAAAAUUCGGUAUGUUACAUUCUCCACCCCUCAAAAGAAUUUUGUCCGCAAAAUUCAAACCACGCCUCAAUUCAGCUCAGCGAGUAAUUGAGAGUACCAACUCAUUCUCCCACUCCAAAGCGGCUUCACACUAUCGUGGUUCCAGAAGCGGCUCAUACUGAAGGACGUGGGUUUAAUCCUAAACACAUUUGCAAAGUGUGAUACAAAAGUGCAUCACGGAUUUUGCAAGUCAUAGUGGCAGCGCAAGUCGAUACUCAACGACUCUACGCGCUCCAACACCACUCACCAUUCGGUACACAAAGAACUCUUCUUUGCACUUACCUUCCCUUCAGGGAAUACAUUCUGAUUCGGUCACGACAUUGCUUAGAAGCAAUAUCACCGAUGCAUCGCUCCGUCGUGAGUGCUCUAAUUUCGCACUGACCCUUAACUUUAACACGAGAUGGCCCACUUCGGCACAUCCCAAGUCUUAGUUCGCUUACGAGCAUAGUCUCGAACAUCACGUGGCUUUUCACUAGUUCGAUGUCGCACAAGGAGUACUUCAUCAUCUGAUACCACAUGCCACGAUCAACAUCAAACUAUUUUCGCAACGAGCUCAUGCGAACACUCCGUUCUUGAAUCCAAGCCAAACUCCUCGAUAAGGCUAUCCGCCAAAUCGCUUUUCUCAAUUUCAUAGGUGGCCCACAGACCGCCUGUCACGCCCCCGCCCCGAAACCCCUACCAAUUUGGUCCGGUUCGGGCACGGCGGACGGACGCCGAACGGACAGGACCUCUCCUGUCCGCCCAAGGCCAAACAACCUGAUCAAGUACAAUUAAGCGCCCAGAAAAUGCCUAAAUAAUAUACAUGAUCAAUACGAUGCCCACAAGUGCACUACAACUAAGAGCAAGAACCACAAGUAAAAUACAAGUGUAUAAAGAAAGGUAGUUUAACUAUUACAACCAUUCAACAUUUACAUAAGUUGAUUACAAUUACAUUUCCCUCUUCCAAAAUGUAAAUACAUGUUUUUUCCCAAAAUAUAUCAUAGCUCUCCAAUGCCUAUCCAAAAUAUACAUCUUCUAGUACACGAGGGUACUCUAUAAGCAAAAGGGAAAGCAACUAACUACUCACUUAGGGCGUUAUGCCCUUGCCGCGAUCCUCGCUCGGCUCGCCCCUGUGUAUACCUGUACCCCAAAACCACAUGGGGUGAGAACUAUAUAAAUAUAGUUCCCAGUGGGUUUGACCGCCGACUCCGCCGGUUUUCCGACUAGGUAUAAGCAGGCAUAAGCAGAUAGAUAGGUAGAUAUAUAGAUAGAAAAGUAAACUGCAAUUAUUCUACCAUGCCUUCAAUAAUGAGCAAUGCAUGCCAUAUGCAUUUGCAAUGAACCUACUAUCAUGCUAGUAUCAUGUCAUGAGUAUAUAAAAGUACAUAGUAAUGCAAUCUACAACAUACGCUAUGUCUACUCGAGGUAAUAAUGCAAUUCUACUAUGCCAUCCAUGUUUAUAACCCAAUCUACUUGGUUAACCCGUAGGUUAAACCCUCGACUCACUCUCAAUCUCAUAGGUGAGGAGAAGCUGUACUCGCACAUCGAGACCGUCUGCGGGACAACUACGUCUGCCCCUAGUGAAGCACUCCGGAGACUCGUGCUUCGGUGGAGCGACCACCGACAAGCGAAAACAGACUAGUGAGUAUGAUCCAAUCCUCUCAAGAGGAUACCCUGUCUAUUAGGGUCAAUGUGCCUUUGCUGUACAGUAUACAAUGCAUCCUAGAUGUCGGAAUUUCUACUAUCCCUAGAACCAUGUCAUGUUUACUACACUAAACUCGAUGCCACUUGUUUAGUCAUUGUAGUAAUGUUCUUUAACUAGUUGACAUGCCGCUCGUCCAAUUAGUGUUUCUACUACACUAGUUCAAUGCCACUCUACUAGGCUAUUAUAUGUCCAAGUUCGGCUCUUUAUGCCACUAUAGGAUUCCAUGUCACAAGACCCAAUCCUCAUGCUACCCUAGUUUAUGUGUCCAACUUCCAAGUUACACUACUAAGAAGCAUGCAAAGAAUUAGAAUUGUAACAAUCUACUAAUCCUAUAAUGCAUAAUAGUCAUAUAUGACCAAUAUAAAGAACUUAAAUAUAAAGAGAAACCCGGUUGCUUCGGGAUAACACCCCCAACCUCUUGAGGGUAUGGAGGCUCUAGAAAUGCCCUCCAACGAACAUUACGAUGACGUCUCGGCCUCUUAGGUCGAAAUGAAGCUUGGUUGGCCUUGUUUCGCCAAUAUCUUUUCGCCCGCUUGACGAAUCGAAAAUCCGACUUCGCCUUUGCGUUUAAACACCUAACAAUUAGGUUAGAGGAGGGUUAAAUGAGAUCAAUCAUCUACUUUUCCAAAAACCAUAAUUUGAGUGCCCUAGAGUUAGCACUAUGCAAACCCACUUCAAAAACCCUAGAUUCUAGUUCUAAUCCCACCAUUCAUGGUGCUAGGGGUCCAUUUGACCCCAUCUCAAGAGCUAAAAUCCCAAAAAUCCUAAAUUUCACAACUAGGGUUAGAAGCCUACCUUUUGUUUAGCUUCAAAGAGAGAAGAGAGGAAGAGGGAGAGGUCCAAAAGCUUCCCAAGCUUGAUCUCCUUCUUCUUCUCCUUCCUUUUCUUCCUUCUUUUCCUUCUUUUUUCUUCUUCUUCUUCUCUUUUGUUCUUUCCCUUCUAGAGAGAGAGAGGAAGAAAGAGAGUGUGUGAGGGAGAAAUGAGGGUGAGAGAGUGAGAAGGGACCCAUAUGCCCUCAUAUUGUAACAAUAUCCCAACAGCCCCCUCCACUUUUGCCUCUGUGCACUGCCUUUACUGGGCAGAAUUCGCGCGGAGGUACCGGUCUCCCCGACCUGGGACCGGUCCCCGAGAGUGGGAUUUUCAAGACUUAGCCAAAUUUCUGGCUUUCUCGCUGGGUUCGCGUUCGGGAACCAGUCCCUCCCUGCCAGGGACCGGUUGCCUCAAGGAUCCUCGCAACUAUCAGCCGAUGGGACCGGUCUCUCCCUGCCAGGGACCGGUCCCAGAGAGCAAUUUUUGCCCAGUGCAGGUUUUGCACUAUUUUCUCUCGUGGACUCGUCUCUAAGGCACUUUUGGUGAUUUAGGCAUCUUCGGCCUUUCCGAAGCUCACCAACACGACCCUUGGUAGAUUCUAAACGAAGUCCAACUCUCGUAUUUCGAGAAUUCACUUCCUUACACCGCCAGUGCCACAAAGGCCUAUCGCCUAACCUGUCUCAAUACGCAGCGUCUCUCGCUCGCAUAUGCAGGCCCAAUCAUCAUCGGGUAAAAUUCUCACUUGGGAAUUCGCACACACUCCAACCAGGAGCAACUAAGACCCCAAACCACAUCAUAUUCUCGGGUUGGGUCAUUACACACUCGGUGUAUCCUCGAUCUCGCGAUCCAAUGCGUGGCAUUCCACGUUCCCGGGUCUAAGCUCGGACUACCGCCCUGACCAUAACUCUGCCCUACCCGUAGGUACCGGGCCGCUGUCACUCACAGCUGACUGCGCCGGCCCAAAGGGCCCAGGCUCCACAGUCCACAAAUGGUCCAAGCACGGGUCGUCCCCAAGCACUACCCGCCGUCGUCGUCUUACACGACAUGCUCUAUCGAGUCGCACGUAGCAAUAUCGGCUCCUAUGCACCUAGUGCGAGUCACCAACCCUGCGAGUGAUCCAUGGCCCGCUUCAUACUUAGCAUUGCUACAGUGCUAUUGCCAUCUCACUCACUCGGCUGAAUCCACAUCCGCACUCUAUGAGUAUCUACACUCAAGCGGUCUACGUCUCUACAGCGUUCCACACGAAGUCCAGCAUUAAGCAAUCUUGCCUAUGCACACCGGCCGCAUGAGCACAACCGCCUACCUCACCUUGAGGUACUACUAGGCCCACGUGCUCAAACUUGGCCACUAAUCGACCGUUCUCUCAACAGUGAUUCUACUUUCACCGUCCAAUCUAUCGGAACAAUAUCCGAAAUUCUCGGAUUACUCGGGUGCCUACAAGUAUCAUGGCUAAACUCUCGCAAUCUACUGAUUAUGUUGCCUUGAGAGUCGCUACGCCAUUUCAUCUCCACCACGAGUGUCAUUUCUCGCCAUAGAUCACUACUAGCACUUCACUUAUGCCAUCUGGCUCUAUACCUGUACUGGCAGGUACUACGCCCUCACAACACGAGCAUGCCCGGGUAUCUAUACUUACCCGUCCACUCGGUCUCUACUAUACUCAUGCACGACAAUAGUAACUAACCACAUAACCAUUGUAUGCAAUGCAUCAACUUCACAUCAUGCAAAAUAUAUGCUUGUAUCAAUAACCCAUACCUUCAACAACGUCGUCAGCAGCAGGUUCCUCAACCUGGGUUGCGCAUCUACGGCCACCCGGCGCUUGCCGCGAACCCUUAGGUUGCAUUGUCCUAAACGCCCUCUCGUAGCUCACACUGCUGUGGGUAACGAAAACACCCACAAACAACACAUCUCACCAAGGACUGAAUACAGUAGGUCCCCGGAACUCGGGAUCACGAGCGCAAACACAUUGCACUCAAUUGAGAACUUGACGGACCACCGAAUCCACUCACAUUGCACAAGCUAAAUAGUCUGUUUCUUCAAUAUCUUUACAACGGCUCGACGAAUCGCCGAACCGACUUCGCCAACGCGUUCGUUUACCUAGCAAUUAGGUUUACGAAGGGUCAAAUGAGAUCAAACCCUAUUAUUUUACAAAACCCCAUUUGGAGCCCUAACGUGCAAAUAACCUCCAAAUAAUUCAAAUUAAAUAGAGCAAAUAUGUUUAGAACACUUUAGAUACUACUAGAACAUCAUUCAUGAAGGAUUUAAACAAAAUUCCAAAAGCUUACCAAAAUGUGAACGCCGCGACGAAAGCAUGCCGCUCCAACGACCGCACGAAAGCUCGAUCCUCGCUUCCAACGCGUUCGCAAGCUCACUCUCCACCAACCCUCAAAUUUUUAGAAAGAGAUUUAAAGAGAUGAGAGAGAUAUUUAGAGAGAGAGAGGAGAGUUUCUCUCACUAGCACCAUGUGUGCGUGUGAUGUUGGUGCUCGGGCUGAGGGAGAAGAAGCAAAUGCUUCUUAUAUACUUAACGCCCUCACAAUACACUAUUCAUAUCAGUUUAGCAGAUACAAACUGAUGUUUUUCGCCGGAGCCCUUCUGAAUGUCCGUUUGAGCUCAAAUUUGACAGUCAGGCUCGGUUUUACUUAAUAAGUAAAAAAAAAUUUUAAUAUUUCAGUUUCGACCCUAUUUGGUCACCGAAAGCUGUAUUGAACUGUAAUCUUUAUCAGAUAGCUGUCGAAUUUUAUUUUUCACCUUCCGGGUGUCAGAACGAUAUGAAACUUUAAAUCUAGCCUCAUAAAAAAAAUUCUGACUUAUCCUCCAGUUUUUAUAAUUUUCUGACACUGUGCAUUUUCUGCUAAUUUAUCUGUCCCGUUUCCAACAGAAAAUUCUAAAUCUUCUAUUUUCAUUACGAUUUCAGCACAAGUCACUUCUAACUUAUGUUUUACUUCUCUAAAUCCAAUAAAAAUAUUAUCUCACACUAUUUUUAUUUAUUUUUAUUUUUACAUCAAAAUCCGGUAUAUUAAAGGUACGAUUCGUUCGCAAAUCUGACGGACGGAUUUGCAGAUAUCGCUCGUUGAUCGAGGAGGGGGCUUAAAUGGCAAAACGGUAUUUUU